RNAcentral lists this ribosomal RNA (322 nucleotides) under uncultured eukaryote. RNAcentral describes it as "partial 18S ribosomal RNA". It matches the Rfam family "Eukaryotic small subunit ribosomal RNA", at positions 1470 to 1796 of the family's 1831-position model. The record is from RNAcentral.
CCCUUAGAUGUUCUGGACCGCACGCGUGCUACACUGAGUGGAUCAGCGGGUCAGGUUGCGCGAAAGCGUUUCCUAAUCUUUAAAUCCGCUCGUGAUGGGGAUUGACGGUUGCAAUUUUCUGUCAUGAACGAGGAAUACCUUGUAAGCGCGGGUCAUCAUCCCGCGCUGAAUACGUCCCUGCCCUUUGUACACACCGCCCGUCGCUCCUACCGAUUGAGUGGUCCGGUGAGGCUUUGGGAUCUGAGCGGAAAGAGCGUUUCGCUGUUUCUGCUCGGAAAACUCAGUCGAACCUUAUCAUUUAGAGGAAGGAGAAGGCGUAACA